RNAcentral lists this ribosomal RNA (427 nucleotides) under uncultured Luteimonas sp. Its description in RNAcentral is "bacterial SSU rRNA". It matches the Rfam family "Bacterial small subunit ribosomal RNA", at positions 355 to 774 of the family's 1533-position model. The record is from RNAcentral. Lineage: Bacteria; Pseudomonadati; Pseudomonadota; Gammaproteobacteria; Lysobacterales; Lysobacteraceae.
UGGGGAAUAUUGGACAAUGGGCGCAAGCCUGAUCCAGCCAUGCCGCGUGAGUGAAGAAGGCCUUCGGGUUGUAAAGCUCUUUUGUCCGGAAAGAAAAGCUUUCGGUUAAUACCCGGAAGUCCUGACGGUACCGGAAGAAUAAGCACCGGCUAACUUCGUGCCAGCAGCCGCGGUAAUACGAAGGGUGCAAGCGUUACUCGGAAUUACUGGGCGUAAAGCGUGCGUAGGUGGUUUGUUAAGUCUGAUGUGAAAGCCCUGGGCUCAACCUGGGAAUUGCAUUGGAUACUGGCAGGCUAGAGUGCGGUAGAGGAUGGCGGAAUUCCCGGUGUAGCAGUGAAAUGCGUAGAGAUCGGGAGGAACAUCCGUGGCGAAGGCGGCCAUCUGGACCAGCACUGACACUGAGGCACGAAAGCGUGGGGAGCAAACA